RNAcentral lists this ribosomal RNA (92 nucleotides) under Salisediminibacterium halotolerans. Lineage: Bacteria; Bacillati; Bacillota; Bacilli; Caryophanales; Bacillaceae. The record is from RNAcentral.
CACCCGUUCCCAUGCCGAACACGGAAGUUAAGCUCUCCAGCGCCGAUGAUAGUCGGGGGCUCUCCCCCUGUGAAAGUAGGACGUCGCUGGGC